GACAUUAGGUACACAGUCACAGAAGA
RNAcentral lists this non-coding RNA (26 nucleotides) under Rattus norvegicus (Norway rat). Lineage: Eukaryota; Metazoa; Chordata; Mammalia; Rodentia; Muridae. The record is from RNAcentral.